GUGGCUCAGUGGUAGAGUGCUUGCCUUGCAAGCAUGAGGGCCUGGGUUCAAUUCCUCAGC
Molecule: transfer RNA, 60 nt
Filed under: Dipodomys ordii (Ord's kangaroo rat)
Lineage: Eukaryota; Metazoa; Chordata; Mammalia; Rodentia; Heteromyidae
Rfam family: tRNA
About the family: Transfer RNA (tRNA) molecules are approximately 80 nucleotides in length.
Source: Rfam by way of RNAcentral